GCUUUGGAGAGCCCCGCUGGAACGAAGCGGGCGCCGAAGGUGUACGGCGGAAGUGUGUAUCCGCUAAUCUCUCAGGCAAAAGGACAAAGGAGGAA
Molecule: non-coding RNA, 95 nt
Filed under: human gut metagenome
Description: Glycine riboswitch
Rfam family: Glycine riboswitch aptamer
About the family: This family represents the bacterial glycine riboswitch. Glycine riboswitches usually consist of two metabolite-binding aptamers domains with similar structures in tandem.
Source: RNAcentral